This is a small nuclear RNA of Pan paniscus (pygmy chimpanzee), 100 nucleotides long. The record is from Ensembl. Lineage: Eukaryota; Metazoa; Chordata; Mammalia; Primates; Hominidae.
UUGCUCACUUCAGCAGCAAAUAUACUAAAAUUGGAAUGAUACAGAGAAGAUUAGCAUGCCCCUUGUACAAGGAUGACACACAAAUUCGUGAAGCAUUUUU